Nerophis lumbriciformis (worm pipefish) is the source of this 73-nucleotide non-coding RNA. The record is from the annotation of a RefSeq genome assembly. Lineage: Eukaryota; Metazoa; Chordata; Actinopteri; Syngnathiformes; Syngnathidae.
GGCUCUGUGGCUCAGCGGUCAGAGCACUGGUCUUGUAAACCAGGGGUCGUGUGUUCAACUCUCACCAGGGCCU